GGAGCUGCCAGCCGCAAGCCCCCAGCUCAGCUCCCAUCCCGGGGGCGGCCAGGGCGCCCCCCCCGCAGCCCGCGAGCCCCUCCGGCCUGGAAGACAAAGAAAGGCUCGGGGCCGAGCGGUGACGGGGUGGGUGGGAGCGGCGACUCGCGUGAGCCCCGGGACGUGAGAACGCAGCCCCCGCCCCCCGAGAGGCGGGGCCCCAAGGCCACCCCCGAGAAAGGUCGUCCCGCGACGCCGGCAGCGGGGUCCGGGCGCCCGCACACGCCCGGGCACAGGCGGCGGCGGCGGCGGCGGCGCGGGGGGGAGGAGCCGGCGGGCGAAGAAAGGCCGCGCGGGCGGCGGGGGCGGGGCCUGCGCGGGGGCGGGGCCGCGGGUGGGCGGGGCCUGCGCGGGGGCGGGGGCGGGGCCUGGGCGGGGCGGAGCCGGCCGCGUCCCGGGCUGCCUGAGACAGUCACUGCCCUGGCGGCGGCGGCGGCGGCGGCGGCGGCGGCGGUUGGCCGGUGGGGGCUGGGAGGAGCUCGACCGAGCUGCCGGGGCAGCUGGAACUGGCCGUCGCCGGGGGCCAAGCGGGGGAUCUGGAGCCGAGAGCGAGCCCCGGGCCGGGCGGAGGACGCGGCUGCAGCUGGAGCCCGGGGAGCGCUGGCGGCCGCGGAUUCUCGGAGGAGCAAGUGUCUGGGGCUCGGCGGCGGCGGCGGCGGCGGCGGAGGUAACCGAGGGGCGGCAGCGGCGGCACGGGCCAGGCCCCUCCUCGGCUCGGGGGCUCGGGGGCUCGGGCGCUCGGGCGCUCGGGCGCUCGGGCUGUGGCUGGGCUCGAACCUGACUCCCCGCCCGCGCCUCUGCAGCCCUUCGGCCGCAGACCCCGCUUCUCCCCCUGGUUCUGCCCCGGGGGGUCGGGCGGGGGCGGCGACCCCUCCUGGGAUCCGCGAGGACGUCGGGCACCCCUCCCCCCCCAGACACACCCCAAAAUCUCGGGGCGGGGCGGGGUGUUGGGGCGUUCCCAGCCCUCUGGAAGGGAAGAGGUGCGUGGCCUCCCCGAGGUGGCCCCCCUGCGGCUCCUGGCGGCCGCGCCAUCCCGAGGUGGUUCCCGUCCCUGGGAAUCCCGGAGUUCCUUUUGUCUGUCAGCUGGAAGCAGAGGCCGGAGCCGUAGGCACCCCCCUCCCGCGCCCCCCAGCCCCGAAGCGCCCCGCUCCUCCCCGGCAGCCUUUUCUCGGGCCACUGCCGUAG
This 1224-nucleotide long non-coding RNA is filed under the name Canis lupus familiaris (dog). Its description in RNAcentral is "lncRNA (ENSCAFG00030007461.1)". The record is from RNAcentral. Lineage: Eukaryota; Metazoa; Chordata; Mammalia; Carnivora; Canidae.